UUUCCAGGAGAUCACUGAUAUGACAUAUGCUUUUGUGGAUUCUCUUGGUUAGACAUAAGAAAUGGACAUACCUUGCAACAUAAAAUAAGCAUGUGAAUAUUCAUGAAAUACGAUGUUAUCCCAACACUAUGUGUAUAUUGUUUGAGAAUAUCAAUUCGUAACAAAAUGUAGAAGCAAAACUACACACUGCUAAAUCGUUUAAUAAAUGAAACAGUUGUGUCUUUCAUGAUUUAUUGUUUGAGCAAAAACAUUCGUCUUUUGGAUAAAGUAUGAUCAUAUUUUAUGUUAUGUUAUUUUCAAUACUUAAUCAAAAUCAUGGGUGUUAGAUUUUUCUCUAACAACUUUCCAUACCUCUUUUACAUGUGUUUUCCUUUCCCUUAUUGACUUUCCUUGUGGUCGAGAUUUGACUUUUGAAAUUGGGUUUCAUUUUGCCUUGCACAAAGACAUGUUUCCUUCUUCUCUACCCCAUCUUCGUUUUGAGUUUAACCAAUAUUUUUUAACAAUAAUUGGGCUUGAAAAGGACCAGUUAAACCUAUUUCUAAUAUUACUAAUUGCACCUCAAUACAAUUAUUGAAUUCCACAAAUUACAAGUCCAACAAGUACAAAAUAAAGAUAAAGAAGGAUUAUUUUAGUGAGCAAGAACAACUUAUCCUAACAUGCUUCUUGUGAUUCUUCUGCAUAUGGUGUAUUCUUACUCAUUUCCUUUUUAUCAUUCAUGCACUCAUUAACUAUAUCGAGUGUGAAUCACACCAAAAAGAAAUUUUGAACAAAGAACACACAAAAAAAGAUAAAAGCAAAUAAGUGUUACAAUUUGAUACUUUAUUGAUUCGCAUACAACAAGUACAAGCUACUUUUAUAUAACGUUAAAAAAUGGUUGUAAAAAUACCUGAGUUUUGAACUUGACUGAUAAUUACUUUUUGAGAAUUCAGUAUUAAGUAAAGAGAUCCACAGAAAGUUAUGAAUUCACCCUGAAAUAGUAUAAAAAAAACCCUUCAAAAUAAUAAUAGCAAAAAAAUUAGAAAAGGAUCCUUUUUUCCUACACUGCAUCAUGUCAACAUAUAAAUAUGCCCCGAUUACAGCAAAUCGCAAUGUGUUCACAUGGAUCAAGCUACAAACAUGAAAGUAUCAUUGCUCAAGAGAAGAUAGAAAAAGUCAAAGGGUUGUUAUAUAACAACUUAAAAAGAAUGGGUAGACCCAACCGGGUUUGAGCUUGAUGAAGAUUAAAGUGGGAAAAAAGGUAACAUUCUUAUCCACAUCUAAAUGAACUCAAACAUGCAAUGCGAUGCCCAGGUGAUAUUGAAAUGUGAUUGCACUAGCCCACCCACCACAAUGCAAAGCCAAAGACAUUAUUUAGAUAAUCUUUAAUAUGAUUGGAAGAGGAUUGUCAGCAUAGCUUCAUGAUAUAAAGUUAAAAGAGGAAGGAAGAUGAAACUACCCCCCGCCCCCCCUCCUCCCCAUACCCAAUAUAGGUAUUGCAAACAGUUGCAUAAAACUAACAUUGUUAUGAGAGCAAUACAUAUCCAGAACUAAAAACAAUUUCCUAAACAGCACCAGCACCAUGCUACUAGUGAUCCUAAUAUUCAAAAAAAUGUUUGAAGGAAAGACGUGACCACAAAUACCUGCAAGUUCCUUUGAAGUUCUUGAGUCUUUCUUUGAAGAGCUGAUAAUAGCAAACAAAUCUUCUAAUCUUUUCCGCUGCUCCCAUUCAAGCAGAUACCAUUCUCCCUUGGGAGCUUUGAUACUAAAUUGACAAAAAACCGAAUAAAAAAAUAGAAGAAAACAAGAACUAUGUAUUGAUAAAUUCUGUGGUACAAAGAACGAGUCCUCUUUACAAGGAAAUAUCAGUAGCUAUGAAGGAAUUGAAUAACAAUUGAAUGGAUCUAUGCCCCAUGUAAAAUGAUUGAAACAGAGAAAUUUCACAAUUCUGAGAUAGACACUUCUCUACUCUCAACCGAAACCAAUCACCAAUUGCUAAUUCUCUUCCCUUCUUUCAGCUAUCCCUCACCCCCUAAUAAUUUUUUCAGCCUGAUUUGUUUUAAUCCCUUCAACCAAUUUAUCUAGACCACCCGCCCAUUCUGUUAUCUUUGCUGUCUCUCCUCCCUUUCCACUUAUUCUGCUGUCAUCUGCCUCUCCACUUGCAUAUACUCAAGAACCUUGAGCGUCCAGCAGCCCAUUUAUUUCCUUCACUUCUCCCUCUUAUUCCUUCACUUCUCCCUCUUAUCCUUUUCCCUCUUGUAGGCUUGUAAAUUGGGCCUAUCAGAUGAAUUCACAUUUCUCCCCAAUAGAUUUUUUUUCCCCCCACUGUGAUAGAAGUUAUAGUUCAGCAAC
RNAcentral lists this long non-coding RNA (2328 nucleotides) under Phaseolus vulgaris (common bean). Its description in RNAcentral is "long non-coding RNA (PVUL_LNC002541)". The record is from RNAcentral. Lineage: Eukaryota; Viridiplantae; Streptophyta; Magnoliopsida; Fabales; Fabaceae.